This 21-nucleotide transfer RNA is filed under the name Heracleum maximum. Its description in RNAcentral is "partial tRNA-His". Lineage: Eukaryota; Viridiplantae; Streptophyta; Magnoliopsida; Apiales; Apiaceae. The record is from RNAcentral.
GGCGGAUGUAGCCAAGUGGCU